This 253-nucleotide ribosomal RNA is filed under the name uncultured bacterium. RNAcentral describes it as "partial 16S ribosomal RNA". It matches the Rfam family "Bacterial small subunit ribosomal RNA", at positions 524 to 776 of the family's 1533-position model. The record is from RNAcentral.
UACGUAGGGUGCGAGCGUUGCCCGGAUUUAUUGGGCGUAAAGGGCGCGUAGGCGGCCACGCACGUCCGUUGUGAAAUCGCCCGGCUCAACUGGGCGGGGUCAGCGGAUACGGCGUGGCUAGAGCAAGCUAGGGGGCAAUGGAAUUCCCGGUGUAGUGGUGGAAUGCGUAGAUAUCGGGAGGAACACCAAUGGCGAAGGCAGCUCGCUGGGACGUGACUGACGCUGAGACGCGAAAGCGUGGGGAGCAAACAGG